CGGACGGGUGAGUAAUGUAUGGGGAUCUGCCUGAUGGCGGGGGAUAACUACUGGAAACGGUAGCUAAUACCGCAUAAUGUCUACGGACCAAAGCGGGGGACCUCCGGGCCUCGCGCCAUCAGAUGAACCCAUAUGGGAUUAGCUAGUAGGUGAGGUAACGGCUUACCUAGGCGACGAUCCCUAGCUGGUCUGAGAGGAUGAUCAGCCACACUGGGACUGAGACACGGCCCAG
Molecule: ribosomal RNA, 232 nt
Filed under: uncultured bacterium
Lineage: Bacteria
Description: partial 16S ribosomal RNA
Rfam family: Bacterial small subunit ribosomal RNA
Source: RNAcentral